GUGCCUCAAACUAAUGAGUAAGGAAAACCAAACUGGCCUUGCUAACCGCUUGGCAGUAUUUGGCUUCUAGGCAGAGGGGCGUUUUUCGUCCCUUGAAGCUCAAUUUUUGCAAGGGCACAGGUCGUCCCCUCCUUUUCCGAGUGGGUGGCGUCCGGAUGAGCGAACCGGCACCUACUUUUGUGUCCGGCAAGUGAGGCUGGAUGCCCUCC
Molecule: small nuclear RNA, 209 nt
Organism: Drosophila elegans
Lineage: Eukaryota; Metazoa; Arthropoda; Insecta; Diptera; Drosophilidae
Product: U12 minor spliceosomal RNA
Exons: 1
Source: RefSeq, a predicted model, not a curated record